UUUUUUCCCAUUGAGAUGGGUUUCCCUUCAAUGUCUGGUGAUUCUUCAUUGUUCACAUUUAAUAGUGACACGUGAAGAAGGAGAAUGAGUCUGUGUUAUCAUUAGUGAAAGGCUCGUCUAGAUGGUGAUUCUUCACUGUUCACAUUUAAUAGUGACACGUGAAGAAGGAGAAUGAGUCUGUGUUAUCAUUAGUGAAAGGCUUGUCUAGAUGGUGAUUCUUCAUUGUUCACAUUUAAUAGUAACACAUGAAGGAGAAUGAGUCUGUGUUAUCAUUAGUGAAAGGCUCGUCUAGGUGGUGAUUCUUCACUGUUCACAUUUAAUAGUAACACAUGAAGGAGAAUGAGUCUGUGUUAUCAUUAGUGAAAGGCUCGUCUAGAUGGUGAUUCUUCACUGUUCACAUUUAAUAGUGACACGUGAAGAAGGAGAAUGAGUCUGUGUUAUCAUUAGUGAAAGGCUCGUCUAGAUGGUGAUUCUUCACUGUUCACAUUUAAUAGUGACACGUGAAGAAGGAGAAUGAGUCUGUGUUAUCAUUAGUGAAAGGCUCGUCUAGGUGGUGAUUCUUCACUGUUCACAUUUAAUAGUAACACAUGAAGGAGAAUGAGUGUGUUAUCAUUAGUGAAAGGCUCGUCUAGGUGGUGAUUCUUCACUGUUCACAUUUAAUAGUAACACGUGAAGGAGAAUGAGUGUGUUAUCAUUAGUGAAAGGCUCGUCUAGAGGUUUUGCUUCGGGGAGUCGAUGGGGUUUCCGCAUGUUAGUAAGUGAUGCCUUUGGUCUGGAUGGUUUCCUUCCUCUGGAGAAAACCUUCUCCUCUCCUCUCUGGAAGGCAGCUGCUUGCUUGUUGGUUGUUGGUGUUCUACUCACUGGUUACCCGAGGGGUGGGGUGCUGGCAUCGGUGAGGGAGGAUAAUGAGGGUUGACUGUCAAUGUACAGAUUUUAAUCGACCCUCCUGUUUUCUGAUGCCUGCCUCACUUCUCUGCCCCUCACCCCCAGGAAGGUCCACAGAUGAUGCUCCUUCUCACGGAUGCGAGGCCAUCAAAUCACUUUUUGUCUCCGCUGCUCUCUCUCCAUCGUGGAUAGCCACCAUGGUUUCUCAGGAGGGAAAGGACACAACUGGGAGUAUCAAGUCCAAAAUGAAGCUCUUCAAACCAUCUGGGAAGAGAAAACAGCAUGACAAGGAAAGGUGUAUUUGUCUGAUCCCAGUAAUCAAUAUAAACAUCAAUGAUAACCCCACCUAUUUUUUUAAAUGUAUGAUUUGGAUGAAACAAGAGAAAGAGACUGAUUGUUGCUGAGUCCCUGCUGCAGUCCUGACACAGCUCUCCUUAUUUUGUUGAUGCUCAUGAGGACCCUGAUGUCUGAGGAAGAAGGUUCCCGUCCAGCUCUGCCCCUGGUGUGUCACAUGCCGGCCUUGUCAACGCACACGAGAACCUGACAGGGUGAGUGUUAUAACCCAGUCAUAGAAAAGGAAACUGGCUCUAAAGUGUAUGGCAUCUUGCCCAAGUUCUGACACUUAGCAGAGGCCUGAGUUUAAAUACAGCCUCGUCUUGCUCUUCGACAGCCUCAGCACCACAUGCCCUGGGUGGCCCACGCAGUGAGUCACUGACAGCCCUCGUGGUUGGCCCGUGGCACAGCAUGGAGCGAAAUGGUCCAGUGACCUUUUCAGACACUCGGGCAAUGCGUGGUAUAGUGUAUGUGGUCACUCCCAGUGAGUCCUAUUGUUCAGUUUAAUAGAAUAUCUAAUUCUAUGUUUAUUCUGAAUAAAGGGAGAUUUCUUGUGGUUUUUAAGAAUAUGAAGCAUAUCUAUUUUGCCUACAAGUUGGAAGUUCCGAUACUGUAGGAAGCAUAAGUGCAGGUUAUAAUGAUGGGUUUUUUAUAAGACUGAAUUCACAUCAAACUGAAUCAGUAACUCCAGCUGUAUGAACAGGGUGAAACAUUAAACAUUUAAUGAAAACAAUUCCUUUCUUAGGUCACAGCAAGGACUAAAUAUGUCCAAUUAUCAUGCCCACUAAGAAGAUGUAUUGUAAUAUUUGCAGUUAAUCACUCAUUCACUUCAAAGGGUGUUUAUUAAUUGUCUGCUCUGGGCAUAACAUUAAUUGGAAGCAGUGUGUUCACAUGGAAACAAAACUUACCUGAGACUCUCAGUCACAACUUUCCAUGACCAGUACACGUUUCUAAUUUGAAAUACAUAUCUAAGGCUUCAAAUGCAUAAAUAGGUAUCCCAAUGUAGAACUAAGUCAAUAGUUGCUUUGAAUUAAUUGUUUAAAUUAACCUGGGAAUCGGAAAGAUAUGUCUCCAUGAAACAAUAAAGGCUGUGUUAGAAUUAGUAAACUUUAGAAGAGCAUUUUAAUCCUAAUAUAUAAACAUACUACCUAGGCACACUGUUUAAAUACAUCUGCAACCUACUAUUUUUAGAUUUAAGAAAAUCAUUAAACCUUAAAUUUGGAAAAGAUUCCAGUGUUAGACCUCUAGACUAUGAAACUUGAAUGUUUUUCUAAACUCUUUGAGUUUUAUCCAGAAAUACAGAUUUUCCUGGCACUGACAACUGCAAGAAAUUUCACUUGGAGUCUCCACAUAGUCAACCAUGUGAUGUUAACAUCAGUGUAAUAGAUACUAUCACAAACA
Molecule: long non-coding RNA, 2619 nt
Filed under: Homo sapiens (human)
Lineage: Eukaryota; Metazoa; Chordata; Mammalia; Primates; Hominidae
Description: HSALNT0317542
Source: RNAcentral